Molecule: transfer-messenger RNA, 134 nt
Filed under: Gammaproteobacteria bacterium
Lineage: Bacteria; Pseudomonadati; Pseudomonadota; Gammaproteobacteria
Description: partial transfer-messenger RNA
Rfam family: transfer-messenger RNA
About the family: Bacterial tmRNA, also known as 10Sa RNA or SsrA, is named for its dual tRNA and mRNA-like properties. Its role is to liberate the mRNA from a stalled ribosome.
Source: RNAcentral
GGGGGCGAUACGGUCUCGACGUCGGUCUCAAAGCAAAAGGUGCAUGCCGAGAGAGUAGCGGCUCUCGCUAAACAAUCGCUGCAAACCCAUAGUUGCCAACGACGACAACUACGCACUAGCGGCCUAAACCGCCG